Molecule: ribosomal RNA, 2906 nt
Filed under: Escherichia coli
Lineage: Bacteria; Pseudomonadati; Pseudomonadota; Gammaproteobacteria; Enterobacterales; Enterobacteriaceae
Description: 23S ribosomal RNA
Rfam family: Bacterial large subunit ribosomal RNA
Source: RNAcentral
GGUUAAGCGACUAAGCGUACACGGUGGAUGCCCUGGCAGUCAGAGGCGAUGAAGGACGUGCUAAUCUGCGAUAAGCGUCGGUAAGGUGAUAUGAACCGUUAUAACCGGCGAUUUCCGAAUGGGGAAACCCAGUGUGUUUCGACACACUAUCAUUAACUGAAUCCAUAGGUUAAUGAGGCGAACCGGGGGAACUGAAACAUCUAAGUACCCCGAGGAAAAGAAAUCAACCGAGAUUCCCCCAGUAGCGGCGAGCGAACGGGGAGCAGCCCAGAGCCUGAAUCAGUGUGUGUGUUAGUGGAAGCGUCUGGAAAGGCGCGCGAUACAGGGUGACAGCCCCGUACACAAAAAUGCACAUGCUGUGAGCUCGAUGAGUAGGGCGGGACACGUGGUAUCCUGUCUGAAUAUGGGGGGACCAUCCUCCAAGGCUAAAUACUCCUGACUGACCGAUAGUGAACCAGUACCGUGAGGGAAAGGCGAAAAGAACCCCGGCGAGGGGAGUGAAAAAGAACCUGAAACCGUGUACGUACAAGCAGUGGGAGCACGCUUAGGCGUGUGACUGCGUACCUUUUGUAUAAUGGGUCAGCGACUUAUAUUCUGUAGCAAGGUUAACCGAAUAGGGGAGCCGAAGGGAAACCGAGUCUUAACUGGGCGUUAAGUUGCAGGGUAUAGACCCGAAACCCGGUGAUCUAGCCAUGGGCAGGUUGAAGGUUGGGUAACACUAACUGGAGGACCGAACCGACUAAUGUUGAAAAAUUAGCGGAUGACUUGUGGCUGGGGGUGAAAGGCCAAUCAAACCGGGAGAUAGCUGGUUCUCCCCGAAAGCUAUUUAGGUAGCGCCUCGUGAAUUCAUCUCCGGGGGUAGAGCACUGUUUCGGCAAGGGGGUCAUCCCGACUUACCAACCCGAUGCAAACUGCGAAUACCGGAGAAUGUUAUCACGGGAGACACACGGCGGGUGCUAACGUCCGUCGUGAAGAGGGAAACAACCCAGACCGCCAGCUAAGGUCCCAAAGUCAUGGUUAAGUGGGAAACGAUGUGGGAAGGCCCAGACAGCCAGGAUGUUGGCUUAGAAGCAGCCAUCAUUUAAAGAAAGCGUAAUAGCUCACUGGUCGAGUCGGCCUGCGCGGAAGAUGUAACGGGGCUAAACCAUGCACCGAAGCUGCGGCAGCGACGCUUAUGCGUUGUUGGGUAGGGGAGCGUUCUGUAAGCCUGCGAAGGUGUGCUGUGAGGCAUGCUGGAGGUAUCAGAAGUGCGAAUGCUGACAUAAGUAACGAUAAAGCGGGUGAAAAGCCCGCUCGCCGGAAGACCAAGGGUUCCUGUCCAACGUUAAUCGGGGCAGGGUGAGUCGACCCCUAAGGCGAGGCCGAAAGGCGUAGUCGAUGGGAAACAGGUUAAUAUUCCUGUACUUGGUGUUACUGCGAAGGGGGGACGGAGAAGGCUAUGUUGGCCGGGCGACGGUUGUCCCGGUUUAAGCGUGUAGGCUGGUUUUCCAGGCAAAUCCGGAAAAUCAAGGCUGAGGCGUGAUGACGAGGCACUACGGUGCUGAAGCAACAAAUGCCCUGCUUCCAGGAAAAGCCUCUAAGCAUCAGGUAACAUCAAAUCGUACCCCAAACCGACACAGGUGGUCAGGUAGAGAAUACCAAGGCGCUUGAGAGAACUCGGGUGAAGGAACUAGGCAAAAUGGUGCCGUAACUUCGGGAGAAGGCACGCUGAUAUGUAGGUGAAGUCCCUCGCGGAUGGAGCUGAAAUCAGUCGAAGAUACCAGCUGGCUGCAACUGUUUAUUAAAAACACAGCACUGUGCAAACACGAAAGUGGACGUAUACGGUGUGACGCCUGCCCGGUGCCGGAAGGUUAAUUGAUGGGGUUAGCCGCAAGGCGAAGCUCUUGAUCGAAGCCCCGGUAAACGGCGGCCGUAACUAUAACGGUCCUAAGGUAGCGAAAUUCCUUGUCGGGUAAGUUCCGACCUGCACGAAUGGCGUAAUGAUGGCCAGGCUGUCUCCACCCGAGACUCAGUGAAAUUGAACUCGCUGUGAAGAUGCAGUGUACCCGCGGCAAGACGGAAAGACCCCGUGAACCUUUACUAUAGCUUGACACUGAACAUUGAGCCUUGAUGUGUAGGAUAGGUGGGAGGCUUUGAAGUGUGGACGCCAGUCUGCAUGGAGCCGACCUUGAAAUACCACCCUUUAAUGUUUGAUGUUCUAACGUUGACCCGUAAUCCGGGUUGCGGACAGUGUCUGGUGGGUAGUUUGACUGGGGCGGUCUCCUCCUAAAGAGUAACGGAGGAGCACGAAGGUUGGCUAAUCCUGGUCGGACAUCAGGAGGUUAGUGCAAUGGCAUAAGCCAGCUUGACUGCGAGCGUGACGGCGCGAGCAGGUGCGAAAGCAGGUCAUAGUGAUCCGGUGGUUCUGAAUGGAAGGGCCAUCGCUCAACGGAUAAAAGGUACUCCGGGGAUAACAGGCUGAUACCGCCCAAGAGUUCAUAUCGACGGCGGUGUUUGGCACCUCGAUGUCGGCUCAUCACAUCCUGGGGCUGAAGUAGGUCCCAAGGGUAUGGCUGUUCGCCAUUUAAAGUGGUACGCGAGCUGGGUUUAGAACGUCGUGAGACAGUUCGGUCCCUAUCUGCCGUGGGCGCUGGAGAACUGAGGGGGGCUGCUCCUAGUACGAGAGGACCGGAGUGGACGCAUCACUGGUGUUCGGGUUGUCAUGCCAAUGGCACUGCCCGGUAGCUAAAUGCGGAAGAGAUAAGUGCUGAAAGCAUCUAAGCACGAAACUUGCCCCGAGAUGAGUUCUCCCUGACCCUUUAAGGGUCCUGAAGGAACGUUGAAGACGACGACGUUGAUAGGCCGGGUGUGUAAGCGCAGCGAUGCGUUGAGCUAACCGGUACUAAUGAACCGUGAGGCUUAACCUU